Myodes glareolus (Bank vole) is the source of this 2525-nucleotide non-coding RNA. The record is from RefSeq and is a predicted model, not a curated record. Lineage: Eukaryota; Metazoa; Chordata; Mammalia; Rodentia; Cricetidae.
UCGAAGCAUUUUCCCCUGACAACAGAGCUGAUUAUUGUAUGGUCCCUUUUGGACACGUGUUUUUUCCUGGUAGUCAAGUUCCCUUUUCCUUUAAAACAGAAAAAGCAAAACAGAAUCUAGCUCCGUGAUUGGUAGAUUCCCUCCACUAAUUCACCGUCCUUCAGUUAGGAGAUUCUGGAAAUCCCCGUUGGUGUCACUUUUUCUUUUGACCGAAUAUGUCUCUAGUUGUCUGGCUACAGAAUUUCUUUCCUAAGAGCGGUCUGGCUCUUUCUGGCUUCAGCACACGCCGAAGUUCAUAGUUUGACCUACUAGCACAGGCCAAAAUUCAUAAAGAACUUUGGAGUGGGACAGUGGUCACAGGUGGCCCCAAAGAAGAUUACUUAACGCCUGCUUAAUAGGGGAAGAAGCCUGUGUGUCUGGCCCUUCCUUGAGCCUCAAGCUUGCGACAGAAGUUGCCUUCAGUCUUCAGCAGCUGCUGAAAUGAUACCGAAUUUUAUCUCAGGCUCCAGUCCUUUGGCAUCUGGACAACGAGGAUGAAAUUUUAGAAGAAAAAGAUGAAUCAAUUCAUUUUUGAGGCAUAAACUUUAUGGCGUGCUUUCCCACUCCGAAAUAAAACUAUCAACAUGCCAUUAUUUCCUGAUGCUGUCGGUUCGAAUCCUAAUGAGAAGGAAGCCUGAGCGAAAGUUGUAAUGUGAUAAGACCCAGUGAAGUGGAACACACAGAACAAGUUUUUCAGGUGUGGGGCGACAUAAUCAGAUUUCACACCUACUGAUCAGAGGAACAGCUUGUGUGAGACAAGAAAACCAUGAGACAUUUGCAUAGUCCAGGUGCGAAAGUGGAUACUGUGGGAAUGUGGACAGAAGUGAACCAUUUUCGAUCCUUGCGAUGGAUUGGAUGAAGAAAAGGAAGCUGACUUUCCUAGGCUUUCAAUUGGAGGCAAGCCAGUAACUUGUAACAACUCUCAGGAGCAGGGCACCCAAGAACUCUACAUGCUCAGACAAGAGAAAGGGGAAUUUUGAACUCCUAAGAAAGCCCUUUAAGGUGCAGAUGUUCGCAGCUGGAAAUUGUGCUGGUCCCCAUUGAUGAGGGGCUGAGAUGGUGAUUCAGUGGGAGAGCAUUUGUCUAGCACGAUGAAGGCCUUCAGUCCAAACUCCAGCCAAACAACACACACACACACACACACACACACACACACACACACACACACACACGUCUACAAUUGUUCUGACUCCUUGGAGCUUCUGCCUGACAGCUGAAAGUUGUCGCUGUCUGGUGAACACCAUCCCACAACCCGUUGAUGAGGAAGCAAAAGAAGUGACUUCCACUGCGGCAGGUCUCGUCAGUGUGGUAGGUCAUCUGCCAACCUUAUGACCUUGACCUACUUGUGUGCAGGCCUAACGUGACUGAGAAGAGAAAGUUCUAGGAAUAGUCAACAAAACUGGGGUUUCCCACAAAUGCAAUUGAGGAGAUAAAGUGUGCCUUCCCUGUCCUAGGCACAGCCAUCCACGAUGCUCUCACUCUGCCGCCUCCUGUCCCAUGGCUGCGAUGAACAUACCCACUUGAAGAAACCCUGUUGGUGGCUUCAUCAUGUGAAGUCUUAUUUCUUCCUCUCAUCUGCUGAAGAGUUGAAUUCUGUCAUCUCUUCUCACCUACUCGUUACAAAGUUCAAACUUUACCCCAUGAGUUGUUAUGAAAGACAGAGUGAAGACUGAGUUCUCAAGGAUUUUCUCUAUCCUGCUGUCGUGGUUUGACUCUUUCCCUUUUUUUCAGAGUGACUAGGAAAAGCCAACCCAGUGUCCAAGCAGGCUUCCUAAAGUGAUACAUGUCAUCUGUGUUUCAGCUGCUGGGAUGCCUAGAUGAGCUUAGACCGUGAAGAGUGGGUGAUCGCUGUUUAGUGGACAGUUCUCAACAUGAGCCUGCAACUCUCAAGUGGCAGUUGCUUAGACAUUUGGAGAAAACCCCAUUUCUUUGACCUUCAUCAGCAGCUGCAGUCUAACGGGAACCAUUGGGUCAUGACUUUUAUAGAGAUCUCUAGCUCCCAGCACAUAUGAGAAGCCACUCAGCACUUGAAGACUGACAGAGUUCACCUUUUGCCAAGUAUUUAUGAAAUUCCUGAGUACUUACAUAGCUAUUGUUAUCCAGCAGGACUUUUAUUGAGCAUCAAGGGUUCUUAGCUCAGGUUUUUACAAAUUAGUUUCAGAAGUCUAUAUAAGUCUUUAGAAUCUAUUCAUUAUCACUCUCCCAUACAUUCCUAUAGGUAUAUUUUCUUUUCUUUUCAGGGGAAAUUUUUUGAUUUUUAAAGGGUUCCAGAAAUAUCACCAUAUUAAAACUGUUAAUUUUUUAUAGACAGAUUUUACUCAAACAUUUGGUGCUUGCUUCCUUCUAUUGUCCUGUGGGACCCCCAAUCUGUUUUCACAAAGUUAAUCUUUGUAAGAGCACAUGUGGAAUUGCCUCAUUUGAAUUUGGUGUUGUGAUGUCAUAUGCUUUUUGUCAUCAAUAUUACAAGAUAAAGAUCAUUAAUUAUA